UAGGGAAUCUUCGGCAAUGGGGGCAACCCUGACCGAGCAACGCCGCGUGAGUGAAGAAGGGUUUCGGCUCGUAAAGCUCUGUUGUUAAAGAAGAACACGUAUGAGAGUAACUGUUCAUACGUUGACGGUAUUUAACCAGAAAGUCACGGCUAACUACGUGUCAG
Molecule: ribosomal RNA, 164 nt
Filed under: uncultured bacterium
Lineage: Bacteria
Description: partial 16S rRNA
Rfam family: Bacterial small subunit ribosomal RNA
Source: RNAcentral